CAAUAGAAUGAAAUUCAAAACAGUGUGGCUGUGGCCAUUGAUUGACACAUUAAAUUCAUCCAUUGACUGGGACAAUUUACGUGAACGUUUGUCUGCAACGACCACUGUUCACGACGUACCUACGAUAGACAUUUAAACUGUGGGGUCACCAAAGGUUUCUUAACGCCUUUAAUUAUAAAAUAAUUCGAAAAAUUAAUCAGGAAUAACCUUUAUGUUUUGAUUUAUAUAAUUGAUAUAAAUCAAAACAUCGUGUUAUUUCUGAUUAAUUUUU
This 271-nucleotide long non-coding RNA is filed under the name Mytilus galloprovincialis (Mediterranean mussel). The record is from RNAcentral. Lineage: Eukaryota; Metazoa; Mollusca; Bivalvia; Mytilida; Mytilidae.